GAGGAAAGUCCGGGCUCUAUUUAGGAAAAUAUAGCUAUACAAACUAUAGUGUAGGUAACUACGAGGAUAGUGCCACAGAAAUAAACCUGCUUUCAUAUUAAUGAAUGUAAGGGUGCAAUGGUAUGGUAAAAGCGUACCAGAAAUAUUUUUAAGAUAUUUGCUAGGUAAACCCCGUAUAAGAGCAAAGUAAAAUAAUUAGAAUAAAUAAUAAAUUUUCUAUUUUUUUAUUUUUCAUAUUCAAUUAUGAUAACUAAUUAUUAAUAUACUGCCUAAAGUAAUCCUACUUAAGAUUAAUAAUUACCCUUUUUUAUUUAUAUAUAUUUUUUUUAUAAUUAAGAACAAAACCCGGCUUAU
RNAcentral lists this RNase P RNA (354 nucleotides) under Dipterocladia arabiensis. RNAcentral describes it as "rnpB". The stretch from base 2 to 182 matches the Rfam family "Bacterial RNase P class A", at positions 44 to 222 of the family's 367-position model. From Rfam's summary of the family: Ribonuclease P (RNase P) is a ubiquitous endoribonuclease, found in archaea, bacteria and eukarya as well as chloroplasts and mitochondria. Lineage: Eukaryota; Rhodophyta; Florideophyceae; Ceramiales; Dasyaceae. The record is from RNAcentral.